Non-coding RNA from Paramuricea clavata, 1317 nucleotides. NCBI's taxonomy places the organism in Eukaryota, Metazoa, Cnidaria, Anthozoa, Malacalcyonacea, Plexauridae. The record is from the annotation of a GenBank genome assembly.
UGUGGCAACAGUUAUGUUUGCCCUAAUGCUGAAGAGUCCUGUGACCUUGCAGCCAUUGCAUUGAAGAUAAAAUCGUGUGCUGCUGCAUGUUGUACUACCGAUAAUUGCAACAAUUAUACCCCCAACAGCGCAACUGGUGUUAUAGUGACCAAGUUUACUCUUUCCUUGAUGGUGAUUGCUGGUUUGAUUUUUGCUUGACUUGAUGUAAUUUUACGUUUUAGCUGUGUAGUUUGUUAGCUUAUAAGUCAAUUGUUGUACUUUGUCUUAAAGAGUCCUGGUCAACCACAAUGCAAUGCAAUGCGUGCGUUUGUUUACGUUUCUGUUACCUUGUGGGCCAGAGGCGGCAACUAUAUUGAGAAAAGUAACUGAAAACGUAAACAAAACCGCGCAAUGCAUUGUGGUUGACCAGGACUCUUUAACUGGCUUAAUGAGAUUAUGUGAUAAAACUGUGUACUUAAAACAAGUUGCUUAAAAUAUGUAUAGCCUUAUUAGUUUGGAUUAAUUUAGUAGGUGAUUACGUAAUAAAUUGAUACAAGGUCAUGAAAGGUGAAAUCAUAAUCAGUUCUUGUCUUGAUGACAUGCGUAAUCAAAUUCACUAAAUACACUAGUUUUGAACUAAAGUGGACGUUAUGAGAUUAUGUGGUAAAACUGUGUAUUCAGUAAAACAAGUUGCUUAAAAUAUGUAUAACCUUAGUAGUUUGGGUUAAUUUAGUAGGUGACUAAGUAAUAAAUUGAUACAAGGUCAUGAAAGGUGAAAUCAUAAUCAGUUCUUUCCUUCAAUACACUAGUUUUGAACUAAAGUGAACCAGUUUUGUGUAAACUGCGUUGAUCUAUAUCAGUUUUACAUUGUUUACCCUGUAGUCCAAUAUAAGUGUACUCUCAUAUUGGCCUAUAUUGUGUUUAAACUAACUUUAUUUAUACUAGAUUGAUUCGUUCUAUCAGCUUUCUACAUUAGUAUUCUUUUUUAUAUUAGUAUUCUUUUUUAUAUUAGUAUUCUUUUUUCUGAUAUCAGUAUUCUUCUUUCUAUUAGUUUUUUUUCUUUAUAUAAAGAAUACUUAUUAGCCAUUUCCCAAAGUCCUGGGUCCAUAGUCGCGCAAUUCUCAUGUUGGAGGGCACGGAAUAUGGCAGCACACAUUUAAAUUAAAUGUUUAAUGUAAAAAAGAGAUAUUUCAUUUUUAGUUGUCUGAUUCUACUCUUUCACAUAUUUGACGCCUGUCACCAUAUAUUUUGUCCUCCAAACGAUCCCAGAAUGCACUGUGAUCUCUUUUGGGAAAAGGCUAAGGGACGGACCAUUAGAAAAGUGAUGGGGGGGGGGGG